This 253-nucleotide ribosomal RNA is filed under the name uncultured bacterium. RNAcentral's name for it is "partial 16S ribosomal RNA". It matches the Rfam family "Bacterial small subunit ribosomal RNA", at positions 524 to 776 of the family's 1533-position model. The record is from RNAcentral.
UACGUAGGGGGCUAGCGUUGUCCGGAAUCAUUGGGCGUAAAGCGCUUGUAGGCGGCUUGGUACGUCCGUUCUGAAAGCCCGGGGCUCAACCCCGGGAGGCGGAUGGAUACUGUCAAGCUCGAGUCCGGAAGAGGCAAGUGGAAUUCCCGGUGUAGCGGUGAAAUGCGCAGAUAUCGGGAGGAACGCCAAAGGUGAAAACAGGUUGCUGGGGUAGUGCCGACGCUGAGACACGAAAGCCAGGGGAGCAAACGGG